Molecule: ribosomal RNA, 794 nt
Filed under: uncultured bacterium
Lineage: Bacteria
Description: bacterial SSU rRNA
Rfam family: Bacterial small subunit ribosomal RNA
Source: RNAcentral
AGAGUUUGAUCAUGGCUCAGAGCGAACGCUGGCGGCGUGCUUAACACAUGCAAGUCGAACGCGCAGUUUUCUGUAGCAAUACAGGAAGCGGGCGCGUGGCGAACGGGUGCGUAACACGUGGGCAACUUACCCUCAAGUGGGGAAUAACCCGCCGAAAGGCGGGCUAAUACCGCAUAACAUUCCGGGGUCUCAUGGUUCCGGGAUCAAAGCUCGCAAGAGCGCUAGAGGAGGGGCCCGCGCCCGAUUAGCUUGUUGGCGAGGUAACGGCUCACCAAGGCGAUGAUCGGUAGCCGGUCUGAGAGGAUGGCCGGCCACACUGGAACUGAGACACGGUCCAGACUCCUACGGGAGGCAGCAGUGGGGAAUCUUGCGCAAUGGGCGAAAGCCUGACGCAGCGACGCCGCGUGGGGGAUGAAGCUUUUCGGAGUGUAAACCCCUUUCGACCCGGACGAAACCCCGCAAGGGAUUGACGGUACGGGGAGAAGAAGCCCCGGCUAACUACGUGCCAGCAGCCGCGGUAAAACGUAGGGGGCCAGCGUUGCUCGGAAUUAUUGGGCGUAAAGGGUCUGUAGGUGGUGCGGCAAGUCGGGAGUGAAAUCUUGGGGCUCAACUCCAAGGCUGCUUCCGAAACUGCCGCGCUAGAGUGCGGGAGAGGCGAGUGGAAUUGCAGGUGUAGCGGUGAAAUGCGUAGAUAUCUGCAGGAACACCAGAGGCGAAGGCGGCUCGCUGGACCGCAACUGACACUGAGAGACGAAAGCUAGGGGAGCAAACAGGAUUAGAUACCCCCGUAGUCC